UUGAACGCUGGCGGCAGGCCUAACCCAUGCAAGUCGAACGGUAACAGGAAGAAGCUUGCUUCUUUGCUGACGAGUGGCGGACGGGUGAGUAAUGUCUGGGAAACUGCCUGAUGGAGGGGGAUAACUACUGGAAACGGUAGCUAAUACCGCAUAACGUCGCAAGACCAAAGAGGGGGACCUUCGGGCCUCUUGCCAUCGGAUGUGCCCAGAUGGGAUUAGCUAGUAGGUGGGGUAACGGCUCACCUAGGCGACGAUCCCUAGCUGGUCUGAGAGGAUGACCAGCCACACUGGAACUGAGACACGGUCCAGACUCCUACGGGAGGCAGCAGUGGGGAAUAUUGCACAAUGGGCGCAAGCCUGAUGCAGUCAUGCCGCGUGUAUGAAGAAGGCCUUCGGGUUGUAAAGUACUUUCAGCGGGGAGGAAGGGAGUAAAGUUAAUACCUUUGCUCAUUGACGUUACCCGCAGAAGAAGCACCGGCUAACUCCGUG
This 489-nucleotide ribosomal RNA is filed under the name uncultured bacterium. Its description in RNAcentral is "partial 16S ribosomal RNA". It matches the Rfam family "Bacterial small subunit ribosomal RNA", at positions 30 to 507 of the family's 1533-position model. The record is from RNAcentral.